GCAACAGCUCAAAUUUGAAAUCUGGCUCACGCCCGAGUUGUAAUUUGUAGAGGAUGUUUCGGGUGAAGCCACGGUCCAAGUCCCUUGGAACAGGACGUCAUAGAGGGUGAGAACCCCGUACCUGGCCGUCGGUGCCCCCCGCUGUGAAACUCCUUCGACGAGUCGAGUUGUUUGGGAAUGCAGCUCUAAAUUGGUGGUAAAUUCCAUCUAAAGCUAAAUACCGGCCAGAGACCGAUAGCGCACAAGUAGAGUGAUCGAAAGAUGAAAAGCACUUUGAAAAGAGAGUUAAAAAGUACGUGAAAUUGUUGAAAGGGAAGCGCUUGCGGCCAGACUUGCCCGCGGUUGCUCAGCCCGCCUUUUGGCGGGUGCACUCUUCCGCGGUCAGGCCAGCAUCGGUUUGGGCGGCCGGAUAAAGACGCCGGGAACGUGGCCUCCCCUCGGGGAGGUGUUAUAGCCCGGCGUGCAAUGCGACCAGCCCGGACCGAGGUUCGCGCUCUGCUAGGAUGCUGGCGUAAUGGCCGUAAGCGGCCCGUCUUGAAACACGGACCAAGGAGUCUAACAUCUAUGCGAGUGUUUGGGUGUCAAACCCGUGCGCGUAAUGAAAGUGAACGGAGGUGGGAACCCGCAAGGGCGCACCAUCGACCGAUCCUGAUGUCUUCGGAAGGAUUUGAGUAAGAGCAUAGCUGUUGGGACCCGAAAGAUGGUGAACUAUGCGUGAAUAGGGUGAAGCCAGAGGAAACUCUGGUGGAGGCUCGCAGCGGUUCUGACGUGCAAAUCGAUCGUCAA
RNAcentral lists this ribosomal RNA (786 nucleotides) under Fraxinicola europaea. Its description in RNAcentral is "partial large subunit ribosomal RNA". It matches the Rfam family "Eukaryotic large subunit ribosomal RNA", at positions 101 to 908 of the family's 3401-position model. The record is from RNAcentral. Lineage: Eukaryota; Fungi; Ascomycota; Dothideomycetes; Venturiales; Venturiaceae.